Molecule: ribosomal RNA, 654 nt
Filed under: Citharexylum caudatum
Lineage: Eukaryota; Viridiplantae; Streptophyta; Magnoliopsida; Lamiales; Verbenaceae
Description: eukaryotic LSU rRNA
Rfam family: 5.8S ribosomal RNA (bases 257-412)
Source: RNAcentral
GCGGAAGGAUCAUGUCGAAACCUGCAAAGCAGACCGCGAACUCGUUUAAAACAAACUCCGGGUGCCUCGGCGUGGGGGGAAGCCUCCCGUCGCGGCCCCUCCCCCUGCUCGGCGUGCGCGUCAGCGUGCCUCGGGUGGGCUAACAAAACCCCGGCGCGGGAUGCGCCAAGGAAAAAGAAUCAAGGAAGCGUUCCCCUCCCGCAGCCCCCGUUUGCGGUGCGCGUGGGAGGAGCGGAUGCCUCUUGAAUGUCACAACGACUCUCGGCAACGGAUAUCUCGGCUCUCGCAUCGAUGAAGAACGUAGCGAAAUGCGAUACUUGGUGUGAAUUGCAGAAUCCCGUGAACCAUCGAGUCUUUGAACGCAAGUUGCGCCCGAAGCCAUUAGGCCGAGGGCACGUCUGCCUGGGCGUCACGCAUCGCGUCGCCCCCCACCCGCUCCUUGAUAAUUCGGGGACGGGGAAGCUGGGGGCGGAUACUGGCCUCCCGUGCGCUCGCGCGCGGCUGACCCAAAUGCGAUCCCGCGGCGACUUACGUCACGACAAGUGGUGGUUGAACUCUCAACUCGCGCAAUUGUCGUGCCGGACAUCGUUGCCAGCAGGGGCAUCAUAAUGACCCGAUGCUUGCGCAAGCGCGCUCGCUUCCNAACGCGACCCC